Molecule: ribosomal RNA, 255 nt
Filed under: uncultured bacterium
Lineage: Bacteria
Description: partial 16S ribosomal RNA
Rfam family: Bacterial small subunit ribosomal RNA
Source: RNAcentral
UACGUAGGGUGCAAGCGUUAAUCGGAAUUACUGGGCGUAAAGCGUGCGCAGGCGGUUUUGUAAGUCUGUCGUGAAAUCCCCGGGCUCAACCUGGGAAUUGCGAUGGAGACUGCAAGGCUAGAAUCUGGCAGAGGGGGGGUAGAAUUCCACGUGUAGCAGUUGAAAUGCGUAGAGAUGUGGAGGAACACCGAUGGCGAAGGCAGCCCCCUGGGUCAAGAUUGACGCUCAUGCACGAAAGCGUGGGGAGCAAACAGG